Vicia villosa (hairy vetch) is the source of this 4686-nucleotide long non-coding RNA. RefSeq lists it as uncharacterized. Lineage: Eukaryota; Viridiplantae; Streptophyta; Magnoliopsida; Fabales; Fabaceae. The transcript has 3 exons. The record is from RefSeq and is a predicted model, not a curated record.
UUCUCUCUCAAAGCUUAACAUUUAUUUCAAUACUCUCUCAUUCGUUCUCUCUCAUUUCUUUCUCUUUCUUCAACUUCAAAACUCAACCUCUCUUGCAACCUCUCUCUAACUACUAGAUUUUUGUUAACAUUUGGGUUUUGUUUUUAUGUUUCAGAUCUGAUAAAUCAUUGAUUUUUCAGAUUUGUGAAAAGUAUCAUUGAUGUUUUUUAGAUCUGUGAUAUCAAAGAAGAUCCAUUUGGUUUUUAACUUCACGAUUUUAUUGUUUUCCAGGUUCUUCGGGUUUAAUCUAUGGGUUUCUAACUUCCUUCUUCGUCAACAACAACCAAUGAUUUGUUGGUAAAAUAUAAAGAUUUGGAGAUGAAAAAUCACGGGAAUAGCUGAUGAAGCAACAACAAACACACCGCCUGAAUCCUCAACCACUGCGCCCGAAAAUUAUUUUCCACCUUUCUUCAUUUUCUUUGCACUACAAGGUCAAAGAUCAAUGAUUACAAGCAAAUAGAACCAAACUACAUGGGUGAUCAAAUUCUACAACAAUCUUAAGGAUUUAUCUAAUCAUUGUUGAAAGAUGGAGAAUGGGUCCGUGAACCAAUCUUAUACAAAUAAUACUCAAAGAAUUUCUUUUCAUGAUCGAUGUUGUUGCACCAUUUCAGGUAUUAUCAUUUUAAACUCUUUUAUUAAAUUGUGCGUUUUUAAAUGUUUUAUUAUUGUUGAAACAUGACACUGAAUCUAGAGAUUUUGAUAUGUGAUUGCGAGUGGUGUCAAUUUUAUGGAAAAUAAUUUUCAUAUUUUUUAUUGUCUAAUAUUUCCUACUUUUAUAAAUGGUGUUAUAGAUUUAUAUUUAUAUACAAAGAAAUUGAAAUAUUUGAAGGUUAUGUAUCUAUAAUAUGAAAAAUCAAUAUUGUUAUAUCUAUUUUCAAUGCAUAAAAAAUUAAUUGAAAGUUUUUUUCUAUUUUGUUUUUGCUAAUCUACAGUUUGUGUUUAGUUUUUCUUUUAACGUGACUUUUAAAAUUUUAUAACAUUAAUUUAUAUAUUUUAUUAUUAACAUGGAUAUUCAAUUAAAUUUUUAUUUGAUAGUAACAUACCAUAUAGUUGUAAAUGUUAGAUUAAAUUAUAGUUAUUAUGUAUCAAAUAUCAAUUUAAUUGAUAUUAAUAGUAUUGAUACUAUUAUUAGACGAAGCGUUUCUCUUAUUUUUAUCAUCAUCAUUAUAUGUUUGCUGUAAAAGAAAACUGUUUCAUAUUAUGGCAUAUUAAAUUUGUGUAUUUAUAAGUUAUGGUAUGAGCUUUAUUGUUUUUAUUGGAUUCAUAAUACAAUAAAAAUUUAUUUUGAAUAUUAAUAUAUGUUUGAUAUCAUGAGAUAAGCUUUCUAUACGAUUUUAAGAUUGUUUUUAUAUUAUUGAUGGGUGAUUGUCAUUUGUUGCAAUAAUUUUAAAACAUAUAAUAAUUUUAUUUGAGUUUGUAUUCUAGAAUAACAUUCUCUAUUAAUUAAGAAAAUAAUAAUGAUAAAUUUUAAUCAUUUUUCUAUUGACUAUGAAUGCAAAGUGCUGACUAGUAGCAUUAAUGUGAGUUUUAUUUUUGUUAUAUAUUUUAUUUUUAAAUUUAUAUAAAUGAUUUAUAUUGUGUGGAUUAUAAGUGAUUGUUGAACAUGCAUAUAUGAAGUUUCUACAUUUUAAAGAGCAUGGACAAGCAUAUAAGUAAUAUAAAUAAAAUUUAUGAGGUGGUACAAUUUAGAUAAAUAUUUUAUCAUAUCCAUAAAAUGUGUAUUUGUGGAAGAAAAAUAAUAUUAUAUUAUUUUGUUUGAUUCACAUUGACAUUGAUAAAGUAAAUUUUUAUAUUAUUUACUCUCAAAUAAGUUGAGUUAAGUGUGUACAAUUAGAAGAUAUUUUGUUAUAAACAAAAUUUCACGUAAAUACACAACAUAUUGAUAUGGAUGCUUUUAAUUUACAAUGAAUAUAUUUUACUGUGGGGGCUUAUAAUAUUAAUACUAGGAGAAUUCAAUUUGACAUUGAGUAUAUAUGAAUGAAUAAAAUGAGUAGAGAUAUUGUUGGAUAUACAUAUUAUAUUAUAAUAUGAAUUAGAGAAAAGAGAAAAACAAAUGAAAUAGAAAUUGUGAUUAUUAUUAUUAUUGAUAUAUUCUUGAGAAGUUUAUAUGAUAUAAUAAUUAGAAGAUUUUGAGAUGAUGUUGUUCUCAAUGUGAGAAUAAAUUUUAUAUUAUUGAAAAAUUAUUUAUUAUUUAGUGAAUAUUCUGAAAAAUAUUUAUAUGGUGAGUUUUAAUCACAUAGAAUAUUUUGAGUGAUAAUUGUGAUAUUCCAGUGAAUGAUUCAAUGUGAUACAAUAAUACAUUGAUGUUAAAAUAUGAUUCAAAUGAGAAUAAAACGAAAUGUGAAACUAUUUUUUAUUGAGGGGGUGUUGUAAUUUGAGAAACAUUCAAGCACACCUUUAUAAUAAAAUCUUAAAUAGAUUUAUGUUUAUUUUUAUUGAGAACUAACGAUGUCGCUUAUAAGUCAUAUAAGCAGACCUGUAUAAAUUUAAUUAUAGAGACCAAGUUUAAUAUUUAAACUUGAGUAGUAUUUGAGAUUCAUUGACUUAGAGACGUCUUAGUCAAAAAGUUUUAGGAAGAAAAAUUGUGACUUCCUCAUUUAUGUUUAAAGUAGCUACUGAAUAAUGAGGUAAUAUCCUCUAUUUAUAUGAAGUCAGAUUAAAGUGAUCAUAGUCGAUCCUCUGACAAAUCCCUAGGAUGAAAUAAAUUUGUGAUACAUCGAAAGGGAAUUGGACUUAAGCCAAUGGAAACUAAUAAGUGAUGGGAACCCAACCUUUGUGAUUGGAGAUCCCAUGAAAAAGGUUCAUAUGGGUAAGAACAAGUCACUUGUUAGUUAUGCUAGCACCAAAAAUUAUUUGAUUAAUUUUUAUUUGCGUCCUUUUCCUAUGGUGUAAUUGAGAAAGUGCUAGACACUGCAUUAUUGAGAGGAUAAGCUUAUGUAGCUUUUAAUGAAUUUCAUAUCCUUUAUAGGUGGUGUAUGAUUUGCAGCAUACACUUGAUGAAAUCACCUAUGUGAGUGUUGAGUGGGGCCGCUUGUAUGGGAUCUUGGCGAAAUCUCUAGAGCACUCAUGAAAUAACCAGGCACGCGCACGGCCUAUUAGCGCACCACAGCGUCAACAACAGGAACCGUGGGGGUGUGAUGUGAGUGGUAGACCUCUAACAUACAUAAAGUGUCUUUGGUUCAUAUAGCUUGCUACACCAAUUUCACUGUAUGUUAAGUACUAUCAUUCUAGGACUAGUUCAUAUAGCUUGCUACACUAGUUUGAUGCAUCACAUCCAUGAUGUUAAUCCAUGAAAUUCUUUUAUAUAACUUUUAAUAACUUUUGAAAUAUGUGGGGGAUUGUUGUAAAUUUUGAUGAUAUUUCAAAAGUUUUAAAUAGUUUUUGUCUCAAUUUUAAGUGAAAAAUAAGAUAAAAUAUUUUUAAAGAAAAUUACUAUUAUUAUCAUUUUAUUUAUAAUUUAAAGCAAAAAUUAAUGUGGUCCAUAAUAAGUUUAUUAUAAUAUUGACUUAGUCUAUUCUCUUAUAUGUAUAUAUAUGUCUACUCUCUUACUUUUAGAGGUAGUAGAAAAAAUAAAAUACUUUAACGUGAUAAUCUAACAAAAUCUCUUUUAUUCUUCCUUUUUUUUUGUUGCUAUUUUGUUUUUGGAUUACAUCUUCCGAUCAUCUCAAAGAGUAGUUUUUGUUGUUCUGAUACCUCAGAUUGAUAAUGAGAAUCUGGGAAGAACCUGUUGAAUCCUGGGGGAUUUGCGCUUAUGAGGCGGAUAAAUCCUUAAGGACAGUGUUUUUACACGCCUCAGGUUUAUAUAAUUGUUUAUUAUUUUGCAGGUCAAAGAUCAAUGAUUACAAGCAAAUAGAACCAAACUACAUGGGUGAUCAAAUUCUACAACACUUCAUAACAUCCCCGCUCUAUGAAGCUUUUUCCUACUGUGUUGUUUUUUCUUUAAUGUUAAUUUUUGUUUUAUGGAGAGAGGAGAAGAGAGAGAGAGAGGGAGAGAAAAGAUAUUAAGAAUGAUGAUGAUUUUAUGAAAAAAUAAAUAAAAGAUUUUGUUGGAAAUAUGGAAAAGAGAUUCUACUGCAUGCGAGAUCUUUUUCUUCAAAUAUAUUAUGGAGAGAGUUGAUUUCUCAACCAACAUCAAGGACAAGUGUAAUUUGUUUUCCUACUUUUCAUUUUAUGGUAUAUUUGUCUAUAACUUUUCAUCACAAACCUACAUUUUUGCCUCUAUAUUCAUGUCUCACAAUAGGAUUGAAAGUUUAAUAAAUGGGACAUUAAAAACUUUUUAUCAGAUACUUAUUUUUUAAUUAAACACAUGUGGACUCAGUAUCAGCAAAAAGUUAAAAAGUAUGAAUAGCCACACUUUACCAUAAUGGUUUUGUGAUACUACAUCUUUUUAAGUGAAGUUUGAUCCAAACACUCUACAUAUGAUAUGACACACUCAUGAUGACUUAUUUCUUCCAAUUUUUUACAGUUUCCCAUUUACAACUUUUGUCACAACUUUCAAUGUUUCACGUUUCACGGAUCCCUACCACGACUAUUUUGUUUUGGUACCUAAAGAACUAUGACUUACUGAAAUGUCUAUGGUCUAAACAAAUAACAAAACUUCUAUCAACUAUUGAAAAUGUAAGCACAUGUCUAUGUCAUUAACAAUAA